Molecule: long non-coding RNA, 3387 nt
Organism: Neofelis nebulosa (Clouded leopard)
Lineage: Eukaryota; Metazoa; Chordata; Mammalia; Carnivora; Felidae
Exons: 2
Source: RefSeq, a predicted model, not a curated record
UCUUUUUUUUUUAAGAUUUAUUUUUAUUUAUUUUGAGAGAGAUAGAGAGCAAGCAGGGGAGGAACAGAGAAAGAGAGGGAGACAGAAUCCCAAGCAGGCUCCACGCCAUCAGCGCAGAGUCUGACAUGGGGGUCGAACCCACAGACUGUGAGAUGAUGACCUGAGCUGAAAUCAAGAAUCGGACGCCUAACCGACUGAACCACCCAGGUGCCCCAGGUACCAUACUUGUAUCGUGGACUCUGAGAACCAAAAGGAACUUUAGAAGGAGAGCCUUUGGUCUAACCCCCUCAUUUGACAGGCAGGGAGACUGAGGCACAGAGAGAGGAAUGUCUACAAAGCCUGUUAGUGGCAGGGUCAGGUCUGGAAUGAGAUUUGCUAUUUCUCAGGCCUGAGUUCUUUCUUCUACACCGUAUAUCAGCUAUUCCACCCAGAAAGAAGGAAGUCAGACAAGUAUCUAUUGUGCUUCUAUUAGCAUCAGGAAUUCUGUUAGUAUCAGGAGUAAGUUGCCUCUCAGAAUUCAACCUCCACACACCCUGAGAACCAGUGAUUCACUUCUGGAUAUCUUUGCUAGAAAAACACAGGAACACGGAUGUUGACUGUAACAUUGUUUGUUAAAGCAAAAACUAGAAACAACCAACAGAGGGUUGACUAAACAAAAUGUGGUAAAGUUCAUUGAAUGCUCAAUACUUUCUAUAUAAUAAUGAAAAGGAAAAAUGAGAUCUAGGUGCAUCAAUGUGUAUCGAUCAUAAGAGCACAGUUAGGUGAAGAAUGAGUACAACAAAACCAUAUCAGUGAAGCUUUUCCUGAAAGAUGGUAUACUUGUAGUUCAUAAGAGCAGCACCCUCUGAAGAGAGAUGAAAGAGACAGAGACGGGGCAGUGAUCACAGGACACGUCAGCUUUAUCUGUAAUGCUCUAAUCUUUUCAAAAGUGAAUAAGCUCAUGUGUUAAUGCUGUAAUUAAAACCAGUUUUUGCAGGGGCGCCUGGCUGGCUCAGCCAAUAGAGCAUGCGACUCUUGAUCUCGGGGUUGUGAGUUCGAGCCCCACUUCGGGUGUAGAGACUACUUAAAAAUAAAAUCUUUGAAACAAAAAUAAAUUUUUAUACACCAGUGCCAGUUGUUCUGCACAUGAGGAUGAGUGGGGCAGGACCCCUGCCUCAGAGAACUCAAGACAGUGGCAGGAAUCAGGAAGAGAAAAGGGGAGGGAUACAACAAGGAUCUCGUGCUGUCUCCUCCCAAGUUGAUUUGAGUGAUCUGCACAUUUUCAGGAGGCCAGGGGAGGAAUUCCGCAGGUAGAGGAAUGGGGCGCCCUGGUGAGACGAGCCAGGGUGGGUGUGUGUUGUUCGCCUUUGCCAACUGUUCAAAAGGUUUGGGGUUCCAGUGUGUACUCGGACUUGCAUUCCAUGGGUCCUCUGUGCUUGUACCACCAAAGCUGAUGAGUCUGAAGGACUCACAUCCUCAGCGAGGGGGCAGAAGGCAGCCUCUUCUCUCAAAAAUCAGGGCAAGUAUUUGGAGCACACGGCAGGACCCGAUCUGCUCCGUCCUCAGGCUCCUGAGCAGCCAUCACCAGACCACCUGUGUGCCACCCACCUCCUACUGAAAACCGUGACUCAGUGUUCAGUGGCAUCUGGGUCCUUGGAGUCACCAUGGGGAGAAUUCAGAUCCUGUGGAGUAUGCACACUUUUUUUUUUUUUUUUUUUUUUUUUUUUUGGCCUUCAGAGGCUGAGCAGAGGAGUCCUCUAAAGAUUUCCUUUUAGGGAGAAAUCCCCCAAGCCGGCGACAUAGAAAUGUGUCUGCUCCACUGUUGGUGUCAUCCUACAAGAAUCUGGCCUCUCACAUCCAGGGUUUGGCAUGUGUUUCCACUUAGAAGACUGUAAAUUCCUUCCCUGUUCUGGUGAACACCAUUUCCUUGGGACUGUUAGAAAUCUCAAUUUGUCAAAUGCUGAGUAUUUGACCAACAAAUGCCUAGACAUUCUGGAGGCUGGAGAGGAAGUGCCAGUUUUCUGUCUCCCAGCCCUCAAGGAAUAGUCCAAAAUUUAGUCAUCCCAUAGACCGAAGAAAAGUUAACAAAAUAUGACCUUCCAGGCUAGCUGGGGUUCAGGGGACUCACAUAAUAUCUAAGUGAGCAACAAGGGAGAUCCUGCCACAUGUUUAAAGUCAAGAGGUUUUGAUGGUGUCACUGUUUGCAUUGAUUUCUGGGACAUAGUCAGGUGACCUGAUUUGAUCUCUGGUGCUACCAUGGAAAGCACACUAGCCAGGGGUCCUUGUUCCAGCUUCACACCUGAAUUGAUGCAUAAUCUACUGCUAGACAUUGAAUAUCUCAGUCUUUGUUUCCCCGCCUGUUAAAUGAGCUAAUGGGUGUUUGGCUGCCAUAGUUGAGCCGUCUUUCAUGAUUGUUGUGAUGAACAAAAAUAAGUUAAAAGACUUUCAAAAAACACAAAGGAUGAUACCAAGGAUAUCGAGAUACCAUUCUCCUCCAAAGGGCACUAAACGUAAUCAAAGUGUUCCAUGAAGAAAUUUAUUUCCACAUUUAUUUUCACAGAUGCUUUUUCUGUUCCCUUGUUAACUCAGAAAAGAACGGCAGGAAGAGAGAGAAAAAUCCACCCCCCCCCCCACGUUGAGUUAGGAUAGAAAAGAACUGGAUGAAAUGUAUAUGAAACACAUCCCAUAUAUAUGUACAUAAAACCAAGUCACAAAUUGAGGGCCUUUGCUGCAAACAAUCAUUAGUGCACUUUUUUCAAAGCAAAAAGGAAAAAGGACAUGAAAGAAAACUCACACCCUGAAAAGUAUAAAUGCCAACAAAAAGUGAAAGUGUUCAACCUUACCUGUAAUCACUGAAAUGGAAAUUAAAAGACUAGGGUACAAUUUUUCAUCUCUCAAGUUGGCAAAGAACUUUGCUUACUGAGAACAGAGUGCUAAUGAGGGUAAAAGGUGCGGACUUCAUGGAGAGGGUACAGAGUGCUUCUGCCUGUCUGCAGACCAGUGUGCUGCUAGGUAGCAAAAGCCUUUUAAAAUAUGUACACACUUCAACUGCAUCGUCCUACUCCUCCUUCUAGGAUUUUAUCCUAAGAAAGUGAUCAGAGAUAAGCUUAAAAAGUAUUACAUAGGAGGACAGUUGCUUAAGAAUUGUCUGCAAUAAUGAAAAUUUGUAAACACUUUAAAAUAAUCAGAUAGAAGACUCAAGGGGCGCCUGGGUGGCUCAGUCGGUCAAGUGUUCCGACUUUGGCUCAGGUCAUGAUCUCACAAUUCGUGAGUUCAAGCCCCGUGUCAGGCUCUGUGCUGACAGCUCCGAGCCUGGAGCUUUCUUCCGAUUCUGUGUCUCCCUCCCUCUGCCCAUCCCUUGUUCAUGCUCACUCUCUCUCUCUCUCUUUCUGUUUCUCUCUCUCUCUC